Molecule: long non-coding RNA, 1581 nt
Organism: Oryctolagus cuniculus (rabbit)
Lineage: Eukaryota; Metazoa; Chordata; Mammalia; Lagomorpha; Leporidae
Source: Ensembl
GACCUGCUCUUGCACUCAGAUGUCCAUAACACCAGGGCUUGGCCAGGCCAAAGCCGGUGCCCGGAACUCAUUCCAGUGGCAGGUACUCAGGUACCUGAGCCAUCCCCAGCUGCUCCCAAGUGUGCAUCAGCAGGAAGUUGGAAUGGGAAGUGGAGCGCUUGGAGGUGGCCUGCGGGCGUCCCAACCACCGUGGCCCCAGCCUGUGAGAGCCUUCCCGGGCCCUGCAAGUGGGAACUCGCUUGCUGGGCUUGCACAGUAGCCUCUGGCACCUGGAGAGCCACGGCCCUACCCUGGGCCUCAGCAGGGCUGGUCAGAGAGGGCAGAGGUAGCCAUUGUGCGGUGGGCUAAGAGCCACAGCCCCUAUCGUGGGCCUCAGCAGGGCUGGUCAGAGAGGGUAGAGGUAGCCAUUGUGCAGUGGGCUUGUGGGCCACAGAGCGGAGCUGAGGCCAAGGCAGAUGCCCGCUUCCUUCUCAGCAUCCGGGCCCUGCAGGAACCAUCUAGUGGAUGGACCCUGAGAGGCCCAGGUGAGGGUGGGUUUGAGGCUGGUGUCCACGCAGGAAAGCGUGGCCGGGGCGGGCGACUGGGCCCAGAGCCGUGCACCUGGAGGAGGUCUCUGAAGCCUGGGGGAACAAGCGUGCACUGAGCACAGUGCACACGUGAGGGUCACACAGCCCAAGGUGGGCAGUUCCAACACACCCAACACACGUGCCCGUGGCCACAGUGCCUUGGCACGGCUUCUCCUGCAAUGCACGCUUGUGUUCCAGGUUUGUGCGCAUCUCCUGGGCCAGCUUCAGGGACGCCUCUGUCAACUGGAACGCCGAGCUGUCUCUGCGGGCCGCGUGCGAAGGCUGCGGGGACGUGCCGGGGCUCUCCUUCUCCUGGGAACUCUUCCUCGUCAACGCCACAGAGGACGGCACAGUGGCAGCGCCCUCCUGCCGAGCCGUGGGGCUGCUCGGCGUCUCGGGACUUGGGGCCGUUUGGAAGUCGUCGGAGCCGAUCCCGCUGUCCACAGAGCCCAGCACGCCAGAUCCCGAAGGGGCACCCAUGCUGUUCCCACGGGAGCCUUCACCCGAGACCCUGGGCCAGCCUGCUGUCUCUGCCCCAGGGAGCGCCUCCCCGGAGUCCACGGCAGGGCCUCGCCGGGCUCCUGCUGCUGGUGACACUGUGGUCCCAGGAGAGGACCCUGAGGAGGGGCUACUGGGGCCUGAGCUGGCGUCCUGGGACGAGGAAGCCCCGACAGGGAGCCCCUCUGAGAGCGGCUGGUCCCCUCCCCACCCCGGUAAGCUCCGCCGCCCCUCAACGUGUCCCCCUUGUCUGGGCCCCUGACUCGCCGCGGGAAGAGUGAAUCGGGGUCGGGGAUUAAGUCACCUGUGUUGAUGCUUUAGCUAAGAGAGUGCUGGGCGCGUGCCCGCUGCCUGCCAACAGCCGUGCCUGGCUGAGCCAGGACUCCUCUUGGAGCAGCUACCUGCUCCGAGCUCCAGCUCCUCCCAGCUGCCCGACGCGUGGGGUUGCCACUGGCAAUACGCAGACCCGGAGGCAGAGUCGGCACUGACUUCCGGGGAGUGUCUGGUUCUGAAGCAG